AGUUUGAUCCUGGCUCAGGACGAACGCCUGGCGGCGCGCCUAACACAUGCAAGUCGAACGGAGCUACUUUGACAGAUUCCUUCGGGAUGACGUUGAUUUAGCUUAGUGGCGAACGGGUGAGUAACACGUGAGCAACCUACCUUUCAGAGGGGGACAACAGUUGGAAACGACUGCUAAUACCGCAUAAGACCACGCUAUGGCAUCGUAGAGGGGUCAAAGGAGAAAUCCGCUGAAAGAUGGGCUCGCGUCCAAUUAGCUAGAUGGUGAGGUAACGGCUCACCAUGGCGACGAUUGGUAGCCGGACUGAGAGGUUGAACGGCCACAUUGGGACUGAGACACGGCCCAGACUCCUACGGGAGGCAGCAGUGGGGAAUAUUGCACAAUGGAGGAAACUCUGAUGCAGCGACGCCGCGUGAAGGAAGAAGGUCUUCGGACUGUAAACUUCUGAUCUAAGGGAAAAGAAAGUGAUGGUACCUUAGGAGAAAGCCACGGCUAACUACGUGCC
This 505-nucleotide ribosomal RNA is filed under the name uncultured Oscillospiraceae bacterium. RNAcentral describes it as "bacterial SSU rRNA". It matches the Rfam family "Bacterial small subunit ribosomal RNA", at positions 10 to 509 of the family's 1533-position model. Lineage: Bacteria; Bacillati; Bacillota; Clostridia; Eubacteriales; Oscillospiraceae. The record is from RNAcentral.